RNAcentral lists this ribosomal RNA (957 nucleotides) under Triticum aestivum (bread wheat). RNAcentral's name for it is "partial small subunit ribosomal RNA". Lineage: Eukaryota; Viridiplantae; Streptophyta; Magnoliopsida; Poales; Poaceae. The record is from RNAcentral.
AUGGCCGCCGACACGCCUUCCGACGACCCGCUUUCCGGUGGCGGGGACAGCGCCUGCUCCACGCCGUUCGUCAGCGCGCCCUCCAGCCCCACCCGCGACCCCUUCUCCGGCCACCACCACGCCGCGUGCUUCUUCAGCGCGCCGGCGAGCCCCACCCGCGGCGCCAGCAAAGAGUUUGCCUGCGGCGGCCUCGACUUUGACUUCGACUUCGACUUCUCGUCCCGCUUCCCGUCGCCCUCCGCCGCCGCCAUGUCGUCCGCCGACGAGCUCUUCCACAACGGCCAGAUCCGCCUCUCCGCGAUGCUGCUCCAGCCGCACCAGCCUCACCUCGCCUCGCCUUCACAGGCCCCCGUGGAGGUGGAAGAGGGCGAGCGCGGCCGCUUCAGGGGCCGGUCCGUGCACCGCAAGGCGCGCUCGCUCUCCCCAUUCCGUGCCCACUGGAGGUCACCAUCUGCCGCGCCGCCGCCGGAGUCCGAGUCCGUCGAGCCGGCGGCCACGCCCCCGGCCUCGCGCUCCUCGUCGUCCUCGUCCACCGCUUCGUCCGCGUCCUCCUCUUCCUCCAGGAGCUCCCGGCGUUGGGGCUUCAUUAAGGAUCUCCUCCACCGGAGCAAGUCAGACGGCGGCAAGGACAGCCAGCACCCUGCCGCUCCGGCUCCCCCGACUUUCUCUGCAACGCCAAAGAGGAGCCCAUCUCCUUCUCCAUCGCCGGCGGCGGCCAGAUGUAGAGGGGCAGGGAGGGGCAGGCGGAGGUCGGCGCAUGAGAGGCUCUACGAGGCGAGAAGGGCGGAGGCGGAAGAGAUGCGACGGCGCACGUACCUGCCCUACCGGCAGGGCGGGCUGCUGCUCUUCGGUUGCAUCGGCCUCGGCAACCGCAGCUAUGGCACCGCCGUCCACGGCCUUGCUCGGGGUCUCAACACCGCCACCGCCACCGCCACGGCCGUCUCUUCAAGGUCAUGA